UGAACUGCAGGUGCCACCAUCUCUCCCUC
Molecule: non-coding RNA, 29 nt
Filed under: Mus musculus (house mouse)
Lineage: Eukaryota; Metazoa; Chordata; Mammalia; Rodentia; Muridae
Source: RNAcentral